This 74-nucleotide transfer RNA is filed under the name Candidatus Saccharimonadota bacterium. Its description in RNAcentral is "tRNA-Gly". It matches the Rfam family "tRNA". From Rfam's summary of the family: Transfer RNA (tRNA) molecules are approximately 80 nucleotides in length. RNAcentral also lists the same sequence under 2 other names. The record is from RNAcentral. Lineage: Bacteria; Candidatus Saccharimonadota.
GCGGGUGUCGUAUAGCGGUAAUACAUAACCUUCCCAAGGUUGAAACCAGAGUUCGACUCUCUGCACCCGCACCA